GGUGAACGCUGGCGGUAGGCCUAACACAUGCAAGUCGAACGGCAGCACAGUAAGAGCUUGCUCUUACGGGUGGCGAGUGGCGGACGGGUGAGGAAUACAUCGGAAUCUACUUUUUCGUGGGGGAUAACGUAGGGAAACUUACGCUAAUACCGCAUACGACCUACGGGUGAAAGCAGUGGAUCUUCGGACCUUUCGCGAUUGAAUGAGCCGAUGUCGGAUUAGCUAGUUGGCGGGGUAAAGGCCCACCAAGGCGACGAUCCGUAGCUGGUCUGAGAGGAUGAUCAGCCACACUGGAACUGAGACACGGUCCAGACUCCUACGGGAGGCAGCAGUGGGGAAUAUUGGACAAUGGGCGCAAGCCUGAUCCAGCCAUACCGCGUGGGUGAAGAAGGCCUUCGGGUUGUAAAGCCCUUUUGUUGGGAAAGAAAAGCAGCAGGUUAAUACCCCGCUGUUCUGACGGUACCCAAAGAAUAAGCACCGGCUAACUUCGUG
This 492-nucleotide ribosomal RNA is filed under the name uncultured bacterium. Its description in RNAcentral is "partial 16S ribosomal RNA". It matches the Rfam family "Bacterial small subunit ribosomal RNA", at positions 28 to 507 of the family's 1533-position model. The record is from RNAcentral.